Molecule: small RNA, 107 nt
Filed under: Marmota monax (woodchuck)
Lineage: Eukaryota; Metazoa; Chordata; Mammalia; Rodentia; Sciuridae
Source: RNAcentral
GCCAGAUGUGGUGGUGCAUGGCUGUAAUCCCAGUGACUCAGGAGGCUAAGGCAGGAGGAUAGCAAGUUUGAGGCCAGCCUCAGCAACUUAGUGAGGCCCUGUCUUAA